GCCGAUGUAGCUCAGUUAGAAGAGCACGUAAUUGGUAAUUACGAGGUCCGCAGUGCAAAUCUGCGCAUCGGCU
This 73-nucleotide transfer RNA is filed under the name Patescibacteria group bacterium. RNAcentral's name for it is "tRNA-Thr". It matches the Rfam family "tRNA". From Rfam's summary of the family: Transfer RNA (tRNA) molecules are approximately 80 nucleotides in length. Their secondary structure includes four short double-helical elements and three loops (D, anti-codon, and T loops). Further hydrogen bonds mediate the characteristic L-shaped molecular structure. tRNAs have two regions of fundamental functional importance: the anti-codon, which is responsible for specific mRNA codon recognition, and the 3' end, to which the tRNAs corresponding amino acid is attached (by aminoacyl-tRNA synthetases). tRNAs cope with the degeneracy of the genetic code in two manners: having more than one tRNA (with a specific anti-codon) for a particular amino acid; and 'wobble' base-pairing, i.e. permitting non-standard base-pairing at the 3rd anti-codon position. The record is from RNAcentral. RNAcentral also lists the same sequence under 1 other name.